Triticum aestivum (bread wheat) is the source of this 341-nucleotide long non-coding RNA. RefSeq lists it as uncharacterized. NCBI's taxonomy places the organism in Eukaryota, Viridiplantae, Streptophyta, Magnoliopsida, Poales, Poaceae. The record is from RefSeq and is a predicted model, not a curated record. The transcript has 3 exons.
UAAUGGAAGUGGGAGCUGGAGGAGAUCUUGGGAGGAAAGAUAUAUAGUCCAGUGUCGUCUCUGUAGAGAGCAAAAGGGAAAGGAGCUCGCAGCAGGUACUUAAGCACUGACAUGAGUGAUCUCAUGGUCCAGAGAUACCCUCCUUCUUCUUCUUGUUCCUCCUUCCUCUCUCUUCCCGCCUCUCUCUAGGAUCUUCACCUCUCAUGCUCUUUUAGAGAGAGAGAGGGGAGAGAGAUUACUUAUAUGCAAGCUAUCGGCACGGCUAGCACGUGUGCAUGCAGGCAGAGCUGCAUCGAUUCUUGAGGUCAAAGCCACAACAAGCUCCACUGAAGAAGAGAGAG